CAGUCGCCACGGGAAUACGAAGGGUGCAAGCGUUACUCGGAAUUACUGGGCGUAAAGCGUGCGUAGGUGGUGGUUUAAGUCCGUUGUGAAAGCCCUGGGCUCAACCCGGGAAUUGCAGUGGAUACUGGGUCACUAGAGUGUGGUAGAGGAUAGUGGAAUUUCCGGUGUAGCAGUGAAAUGCGUAGAGAUCGGAAGGAACAUCUGUGGCGAAGGCGACUAUCUGGGCCAACACUGACACUGAGGCACGAAAGCGUGGGGAGCAAACAGGAUUAGAUACCCCUGUAGUCCCUGUCUCUUAUAC
RNAcentral lists this ribosomal RNA (301 nucleotides) under uncultured bacterium. Its description in RNAcentral is "partial 16S ribosomal RNA". It matches the Rfam family "Bacterial small subunit ribosomal RNA", at positions 509 to 807 of the family's 1533-position model. The record is from RNAcentral.